RNAcentral lists this ribosomal RNA (468 nucleotides) under uncultured bacterium. Its description in RNAcentral is "partial 16S ribosomal RNA". It matches the Rfam family "Bacterial small subunit ribosomal RNA", at positions 28 to 507 of the family's 1533-position model. The record is from RNAcentral.
GACGAACGCUGGCGGCGUGCUUAACACAUGCAAGUCGAACGGAAAGGCCCUGCUUUUGUGGGGUGCUCGAGUGGCGAACGGGUGAGUAACACGUGAGUAACCUGCCCUUGACUUUGGGAUAACUUCAGGAAACUGGGGCUAAUACCGGAUAGGAGCUCCUGCUGCAUGGUGGGGGUUGGAAAGUUUCGGCGGUUGGGGAUGGACUCGCGGCUUAUCAGCUUGUUGGUGGGGUAGUGGCUUACCAAGGCUUUGACGGGUAGCCGGCCUGAGAGGGUGACCGGCCACAUUGGGACUGAGAUACGUCCCAGACUCCUCCGGGAGGCAGCAGUGGGGAAUAUUGCACAAUGGGCGGAAGCCUGAUGCAGCAACGCCGCGUGCGGGAUGACGGCCUUCGGGUUGUAAACCGCUUUCGCCUGUGACGAAGCGUGAGUGACGGUAAUGGGUAAAGAAGCACCGGCUAACUACGUG